AGGGGGAUAGCUGGGUCAAAUGGUGGUUCCAUUCCCAGCUUUCUGAGGUAUCUCCAUACUACUUUCCAAAUUGGCCGUACCAAUUUGCAGUCCCACCAGCAAU
RNAcentral lists this microRNA precursor (103 nucleotides) under Marmota monax (woodchuck). The record is from RNAcentral. Lineage: Eukaryota; Metazoa; Chordata; Mammalia; Rodentia; Sciuridae.